Molecule: ribosomal RNA, 1674 nt
Filed under: Acinetobacter sp. 88816
Lineage: Bacteria; Pseudomonadati; Pseudomonadota; Gammaproteobacteria; Moraxellales; Moraxellaceae
Description: bacterial LSU rRNA
Rfam family: Bacterial large subunit ribosomal RNA
Source: RNAcentral
AUGCUGGAGGUAUCAGAAGUGCGAAUGCUGACGUGAGUAACGACAAAACGGGUGAAAAACCCGUUCGCCGAAAGACCAAGGGUUCCAGUCCAACGUUAAUCGGGGCUGGGUGAGUCGACCCCUAAGGCGAGGCCGAAAGGCGUAGUCGAUGGGAAAUUGGUUAAUAUUCCAAUACUUCUGUGUAAUGCGAUGAGAGGACGGAGAAGGUUAAGUCAGCCUGGCGUUGGUUGUCCAGGUGGAAGGAUGUAGGUAUGUAUCUUAGGCAAAUCCGGGGUACUCUAUACUGAGAUCCGAUAGCAAGCUGUACUUGUACAGCGAAGUGGCUGAUACCAUGCUUCCAGGAAAAGUCUCUAAGCUUCAGUUACACAGGAAUCGUACCCGAAACCGACACAGGUGGUCAGGUCGAGUAGACCAAGGCGCUUGAGAGAACUCUGCUGAAGGAACUAGGCAAAAUGGUACCGUAACUUCGGGAGAAGGUACGCUGUUGUUGGUGAUGGAACUUGCUUCCUGAGCUGAUGACAGCCGCAGAAACCAGGCCGCUGCAACUGUUUAUUAAAAACAUAGCACUCUGCAAACACGAAAGUGGACGUAUAGGGUGUGAUGCCUGCCCGGUGCUGGAAGGUUAAUUGAUGGGGUUAGCGUAAGCGAAGCUCUUGAUCGAAGCCCCAGUAAACGGCGGCCGUAACUAUAACGGUCCUAAGGUAGCGAAAUUCCUUGUCGGGUAAGUUCCGACCUGCACGAAUGGCAUAAUGAUGGCGGCGCUGUCUCCAGCAGAGGCUCAGUGAAAUCGAAAUCGCUGUGAAGAUGCAGUGUACCCGCGGCUAGACGGAAAGACCCCGUGAACCUUUACUGCAGCUUGACACUGAACUUUGACCUUACUUGUGUAGGAUAGGUGGGAGGCUUUGAAGUUGGAACGCUAGUUCCAAUGGAGCCGUCCUUGAAAUACCACCCUGGUAAUGUUGAGGUUCUAACUCUGUCCCGUUAUCCGGGACGAGGACCGUGUCUGGUGGGUAGUUUGACUGGGGCGGUCUCCUCCUAAAGAGUAACGGAGGAGUACGAAGGUGCGCUCAGCGUGGUCGGAAAUCACGCGUAGAGUAUAAAGGCAAAAGCGCGCUUAACUGCGAGACCCACAAGUCGAGCAGGUACGAAAGUAGGUCUUAGUGAUCCGGUGGUUCUGUAUGGAAGGGCCAUCGCUCAACGGAUAAAAGGUACUCUGGGGAUAACAGGCUGAUACCGCCCAAGAGUUCAUAUCGACGGCGGUGUUUGGCACCUCGAUGUCGGCUCAUCUCAUCCUGGGGCUGAAGCAGGUCCCAAGGGUAUGGCUGUUCGCCAUUUAAAGAGGUACGCGAGCUGGGUUUAGAACGUCGUGAGACAGUUAGGUCCCUAUCUACCGUGGGCGCUGGAAAUUUGAGAGGAUCUGCUCCUAGUACGAGAGGACCAGAGUGGACGAACCUCUGGUGUACCGGUUGUGACGCCAGUCGCAUCGCCGGGUAGCUAUGUUCGGAAGGGAUAACCGCUGAAAGCAUCUAAGCGGGAAGCCUACCUCAAGAUAAGAUUUCCCUAGGAAUUUAUUCCUCUAAAGAGCCGUUCGAGACUAGGACGUUGAUAGGUUGGAUGUGGAAGCAUAGUGAUAUGUGAAGCUGACCAAUACUAAUUGCUCGUGAGGCUUGACUA